RNAcentral lists this ribosomal RNA (459 nucleotides) under uncultured bacterium. Its description in RNAcentral is "partial 16S ribosomal RNA". It matches the Rfam family "Bacterial small subunit ribosomal RNA", at positions 338 to 795 of the family's 1533-position model. The record is from RNAcentral.
CCUACGGGAGGCAGCAGUGAGGAAUAUUGGUCAAUGGCCGGAAGGCUGAACCAGCCAAGCCGCGUGAAGGACGAAGGUGCCAAGCAUUGUAAACUUCUUUUGUCAAGGGACAAAAUCAGGCUCGAGAGCCUGACCGAGGGUACUUGAAGAAAAAGCAUCGGCUAACUCCGUGCCAGCAGCCGCGGUAAUACGGAGGAUGCGAGCGUUAUCCGGAUUUAUUGGGUUUAAAGGGUGCGUAGGCGGGCUGUUAAGUCAGCGGGAAAAGCCCGGGGCUCAACCCCGGCGAGCCGUUGAGACUGGCUGUCUUGAGAUGUCGAGAGGUAUGCGGAAUGCGCAGUGUAGCGGUGAAAUGCUUAGAUAUUGCGCAGAACUCCGAUUGCGAAGGCAGCAUACCGGCGGCGAUCUGACGCUGAGGCACGAAAGCGUGGGUAUCGAACAGGAUUAGAUACCCCUGUAGUC